This 312-nucleotide unclassified non-coding RNA is filed under the name uncultured fungus. RNAcentral's name for it is "sequence contains ITS1". The stretch from base 1 to 105 matches the Rfam family "5.8S ribosomal RNA", at positions 50 to 154 of the family's 154-position model. Lineage: Eukaryota; Fungi. The record is from RNAcentral.
GAACUGCGAAACGUAGUGUGAAUUGCAGAAUUCCGUGAACCAUCGAAUCUUUGAACGCAGAUUGCGCCCGAGGUUUCGGCCAAGGGCACGUUUCGCUCAGUGUCGGUACAACCCUUCAACUCCCUCACGGGGGUUGAGAUCUGGCCUUCCCUGUGCUUGCACAGGGUCUGCCGAAUGUCAUUGCCGGGGUUCGCAGCACCAGACGGCUUUGUCGAGCAAUUAUUUGCCGACCGUUGUCUAUGCUGUGAAACCCGAGCCAACCAAACUUUUACCUUCGACCUGAGCUGAAGCGAGGCUACCCGCUGAACUUAA